Molecule: ribosomal RNA, 300 nt
Filed under: uncultured Methanocalculus sp.
Lineage: Archaea; Methanobacteriati; Methanobacteriota; Methanomicrobia; Methanomicrobiales; Methanocalculaceae
Description: partial 16S ribosomal RNA
Rfam family: Bacterial small subunit ribosomal RNA
Source: RNAcentral
GCGAACGCCGGGCCGGCGGCCGGGGGAAGACGGGGGGGGGAGUGGGUGUUCGGAAGUGCUGGGGGGAAAGGGGGCGGAGGCGGUUUGCUAAGUUGAAUGUGAAAACUCUGGGCGUAACCCAGAGCCUGCAUUCAAUACUGGCAGGCUAGAGGUCUGGAGGGGAUAGCGGAAUUCCUGGUGUAGCGGUGAAAUGCGUAGAUAUCAGGAGGAACACCGGUGGCGAAGGCGGCUAUCUGGACAGAGUCUGACGCUGAGGCGCGAAAGCUAGGGGAGCAAACAGGAUUAGAUACCCCGGUAGUC